UAUCGCGAGGAUGUCAUUGCUUUAAAUGCCGGGGACAACCGUACUGUUUGUCUUUAAUACUGAAGGCUUCAGGUCAUAUGCUUACAAUAAAAACUAGCUACUAUGCUCACAUAACCUUUUAUAGACAGAAUAGCCUGUCAACAUUUUGGCCAACAGUAACAUUUGUUGAAGGAAUAAUGGUUAGCUGCCUUCAUUCAGGCAAUGAACGAUUUACCUUGUCAGGUGCUGGUGCUAUCAGAGCGUUAAGCUAGCUAUUCAUUAUACCCUACAUACACUUGCACCUGGGGUCGUGGUGAUUUCACUUAUUUUUGUGAGAUCAGGUUGAAUUAUUCUCUCCUGGGACCAUUGCAACGGUGUUCCUUAACAAUUGUUUGCUGCUUCGACACAACACCGUGCAUGACUUCUUCACUUCGGCAGGGUUGGCUGGGGCUUCCAGUGGCAUUUGCUGUGAGGUUUCCCUGGAUUUGGUAUGCAGCCUGAUCGAACAAGUCCAGGUAGUCCUCCACUGGAUAACGGUCAUGAAAGCCCUCGCUCAGACGGAUGAUACCUGGUGGAGGAAGAAGACCGGUAUGGGGAUUUUUUUUGCUUUCAGUCUGGUCCUGAGCAGUUGAAACAUGAUCAGUUGGAUUGAGGUCAGACCACUGACUUGGCCAGUCCGGAACAUUCCACUGUGUGGCCACAAGAAACUCUAACUUGAAUCAUUGUCCCGUGCACUGCACUAAAAAGAGCUUUUAGUUCUUUACCAAGUAUGGAUGCGGACACUCU
Eleginops maclovinus (Patagonian blennie) is the source of this 765-nucleotide long non-coding RNA. RefSeq lists it as uncharacterized. NCBI's taxonomy places the organism in Eukaryota, Metazoa, Chordata, Actinopteri, Perciformes, Eleginopidae. The record is from RefSeq and is a predicted model, not a curated record. The transcript is spliced from 3 exons.